Molecule: unclassified non-coding RNA, 1253 nt
Filed under: Hevea brasiliensis (rubber tree)
Lineage: Eukaryota; Viridiplantae; Streptophyta; Magnoliopsida; Malpighiales; Euphorbiaceae
Source: RNAcentral
AAAGCAACUGUGAUUCUCCUACAAAGUUCCAAUCUUUAUCAAGAACCCACAAAAUUCAUCAACCCAUUUGAAGUGUUUUACUCCUUAAAUCGAUAAAUUGACUCAAAAAUCUCCAGUUACUACUGUUCCUGCAAUAUACAACAAUGGCGACUCUUUCCCUUUCCCCUUCCGUGGGAACAACUUUUCACUCUCUCCAUAGCUACCCAAAUGGUUCCUCAUCCUAUUCUUCUUCUUGUCCCGCUACUGCUUCUCCAGCUUUGUCACUGACAUUGUCAUCUACCAAUUCACGAUUUUUAAAUUCAGCUUUCAAGAUGAAUGAAAUUAAUGUUCCUGUCAGGAAUAGGGUGACAAAAUCCUUUGGGGUCCGGAUGUCUUGGGAUGGUCCACUUUCUUCUGUUAAACUCAUUCUUCAAGGGAAAAAUCUUGAGUUAACACCUGUUGUAAAGGACUAUGUGGAAGAGAAGUUGGGUAAGGCAGUUCAAAAGCACAGCCAUCUAGCCAGGGAAGUGGAUGUUAGGCUGUCUGUUCGAGGUGGAGAGCUUGGAAAAGGCCCAAAAAUUCGAAGAUGUGAAGUUACUCUAUUUACGAAAAAGCAUGGAGUGAUUCGUGCAGAGGAAGACGGUGAGUCAAUUUAUGGAAGUAUAGAUAUGGUAUCAUCAAUUAUACAGAGAAAGUUGCGGAAAAUUAAGGAGAAGGAUUCAGACCGUGGUCGCCACAUGAAGGGCUUCGAUAGGCUGAAAGUCAGGGACCCAGAGGCGCUGUUAGUUCAAGAGGAUCUUGAAACACUUUCCCAAGAGGAAGAAGUUGAAGAUGACAAGAGUGAUGGCUUUGUUACUGAGGUUGUUCGUAAGAAGUCCUUUGACAUGCCACCUUUAAGUGUCAAUGAAGCAAUUGAACAGCUGGAAAAUGUCGACCAUGACUUCUAUGGUUUCCGGAAUGAGGAAACUGGUGAGAUUAACAUUGUUUACAGACGAAAAGAAGGGGGUUAUGGACUUAUUAUUCCAAAGGAAGAUGGUAAAACAGAGAAGUUAGAGCCCUUGGAGGUUGAACCAGAGAAAGAACCGUCGAUAGCAGAAUAAAUCGAUAUGGUAAAAGAGUUAUUAGUUAGUCACUGAGUACAUUUGCUUAGGCAUAAUGUUCACUCCUUGAGAGUCACAAGAAACAGUUUUAUGAAUUGAGAAUAUAUUGCCAAAAAAGCUUCUGUAUGAAAUGAGUUCUGUAAAGUUUGUAACUAAAACUUGACAAGGAAAAAU